RNAcentral lists this ribosomal RNA (237 nucleotides) under uncultured bacterium. Its description in RNAcentral is "partial 16S ribosomal RNA". It matches the Rfam family "Bacterial small subunit ribosomal RNA", at positions 540 to 776 of the family's 1533-position model. The record is from RNAcentral.
GUUGUUCGGAAUCACUGGGCUUAAAGGGCGCGUAGGCGGCUUCCCAAGUCCGGGGUGAAAUCUUUCGGCUUAACCGGAAAAGUGCCUUGGAUACUGGGAGGCUCGAGGGGGGUAGGGGCAAGCGGAACUUCCGGUGGAGCGGUGAAAUGCGUUGAUAUCGGAAGGAACGCCGGCGGCGAAAGCGGCUUGCUGGACCCCAUCUGACGCUGAUGCGCGAAAGCCAGGGGAGCGAACGGG